GGCUCAGGACGAACGCUGGCGGCGUGCUUAACACAUGCAAGUCGAACGCUGAAGCUUGGUGCUUGCACUGGGUGGAUGAGUGGCGAACGGGUGAGUAAUACGUGAGUAACCUGCCCUUGACUCUGGGAUAAGCCUGGGAAACUGGGUCUAAUACUGGAUACGACAUGUCACCGCAUGGUGGCGUGUGGAAAGGGUUUUACUGGUUUUGGAUGGGCUCACGGCCUAUCAGCUUGUUGGUGGGGUAAUGGCUCACCAAGGCGACGACGGGUAGCCGGCCUGAGAGGGUGACCGGCCACACUGGGACUGAGACACGGCCCAGACUCCUACGGGAGGCAGCAGUGGGGAAUAUUGCACAAUGGGCGAAAGCCUGAUGCAGCGACGCCGCGUGAGGGAUGACGGCCUUCGGGUUGUAAACCUCUUUCAGCACGGAAGA
This 433-nucleotide ribosomal RNA is filed under the name Kocuria sp. Its description in RNAcentral is "bacterial SSU rRNA". It matches the Rfam family "Bacterial small subunit ribosomal RNA", at positions 21 to 448 of the family's 1533-position model. The record is from RNAcentral. Lineage: Bacteria; Bacillati; Actinomycetota; Actinomycetes; Micrococcales; Micrococcaceae.